RNAcentral lists this ribosomal RNA (279 nucleotides) under uncultured bacterium. Its description in RNAcentral is "partial 16S ribosomal RNA". It matches the Rfam family "Bacterial small subunit ribosomal RNA", at positions 506 to 784 of the family's 1533-position model. The record is from RNAcentral.
UGCCAGCCGCCGCGGUAAUACGAAGGGGGCUAGCGUUGUUCGGAAUCACUGGGCGUAAAGCGCACGUAGGCGGACUGAUCAGUUGGGGGUGAAAUCCCAGGGCUCAACCCUGGAACUGCCUUCAAUACUGUCAGUCUUGAGUCCGAGAGAGGUGAGUGGAAUUCCUAGUGUAGAGGUGAAAUUCGUAGAUAUUAGGAAGAACACCAGUGGCGAAGGCGGCUCACUGGCUCGGUACUGACGCUGAGGUGCGAAAGCGUGGGGAGCAAACAGGAUUAGAUA